ACAUAUCAAUAAGCGGAGGAAAAGAAACCAACAGGGAUUGCCCCAGUAACGGCGAGUGAAGCGGCAACAGCUCAAAUUUGAAAUCUGGCCCUCGGGUCCGAGUUGUAAUUUGUAGAGGAUGCUUUUGGCGAGGUGCCUUCCGAGUUCCCUGGAACGGGACGCCAUAGAGGGUGAGAGCCCCGUCUGGUCGGACACCGAGCCUCUGUAAAGCUCCUUCGACGAGUCGAGUAGUUUGGGAAUGCUGCUCAAAAUGGGAGGUAUAUGUCUUCUAAAGCUAAAUAUUGGCCAGAGACCGAUAGCGCACAAGUAGAGUGAUCGAAAGAUGAAAAGCACUUUGAAAAGAGGGUUAAAAAGUACGUGAAAUUGUUGAAAGGGAAGCGCCUAUGACCAGACUUGAGCCCGGUGAAUCAUCCAGCGUUCUCGCUGGUGCACUUUGCCGGGCCCAGGCCAGCAUCAGUUUGGCGCGGGGGAUAAAGGUGACGGGAAUGUGGCUCCCUCGGGAGUGUUAUAGCCCGCUACGUAAUACCCUGCGCCGGACUGAGGUACGCGCAUUGCAAGGAUGCUGGCGUAAUGGUCAUCAGCGACCCGUCUUGAAACACGGACCAAGGAGUCGUCUUCGUAUGCGAGUGUUCGGGUGUCAAACCCCUACGCGUAAUGAAAGUGAACGCAGGUGAGAGCUUCGGCGCAUCAUCGACCGAUCCUGAUGUUCUCGGAUGGAUUUGAGUAAGAGCAUACGGGGCCGGACCCGAAAGAAGGUGAACUAUGCCUGUAUAGGGUGAAGCCAGAGGAAACUCUGGUGGAGGCUCGCAGCGGUUCUGACGUGCGAAUCGAUCGUCAAAUAUGGGCAUGGGGGCGAAAGACUAAUCGAACCUUCUAGUAGCUGGUUUC
This 888-nucleotide ribosomal RNA is filed under the name Cordyceps javanica. RNAcentral's name for it is "partial large subunit ribosomal RNA". It matches the Rfam family "Eukaryotic large subunit ribosomal RNA", at positions 38 to 958 of the family's 3401-position model. Lineage: Eukaryota; Fungi; Ascomycota; Sordariomycetes; Hypocreales; Cordycipitaceae. The record is from RNAcentral.